CGCCCGUAAACGAUUUAACGUUACUGUACUCUCUUUUUUUUAUGGCAUUCAUGUCGGCAGUGUCAGUGCUUCAAAUGGCAAACUUAUUUUACACAAAACUUAAUGUAACAUAUUACAAAUAUAAUGCUUGGCAUCUUUUUAUAACAAAGGUAAUCUACCUUUCCUAGGUUUAAAUAAUUUUACUUCAACAUAAAAAGGACUAAAAUGUAGGUUACUUAGAUUUGUUGAACUGAUCUAAAUAUAAAUCAGGGAUGAGCAAAAUAAAAGACAAAGUGAUCUUCUACUUUUGUGGGUUGUUUCUAUACUCCUUAAAAUACAUCUUUACAUCAAAUCAUUUAAAAUACAUCACAGAGAUUUGAACUAAAACAUAAGUUAAGUUAAGAUCAUAGUCAGUUAUGUGAUUGUAACCUCUCCCAGAUCCAUUUUCACACAUAUUUGUAUCAUUUCAGGUCACUUAUUAUGUGAUGUAAAACUUAAUAUAAGUGAAUUGUUAAAUGUAUGCCACUGUAACAUACCUUUUAAGAGAGUGUUAAAUAUGUCAUGGUAACACACCUUUUGGCUAGAUGUACCAAGUAAUAUAAAUGUCUGCUACUUAUUUAGCACUAAUCUCAGUAUAGUUUAAAAAUGUAAAUUCCUAAUUUAUCAUGAUUAUAUCAUAUAGCAAGUAAUUAAAGGUCAUCUGAUAUAUGAAAUACAACCUAUAGUACUUACAUCUACUUCACAUAGUAUCUGGUGGAUAGUUUAACUAAAACUUUUAUUAAAUAUGUUCAAACCAAUAUCUACAGCCCAAAAGUCAGGCUUCUUUAAACUGGCUACAGACAUGGACAUGGACUCCAUGAGGUAAAAAAUUAUAAAUUUCAGAGAUCAUAUUACUUAAUGUGCCAUGUUAAUUUUUUUUUUGUUCAUGUGGAGAGUAUUUUCUAAUUUGAUAAUGUUAUAUAUUCACAUUGCUUGUCACAUCAAACCUUUUCUUGCAUUUUUAACUGGUGCAAUUAUUCCUACUGUAGG
RNAcentral lists this long non-coding RNA (1008 nucleotides) under Mytilus galloprovincialis (Mediterranean mussel). Lineage: Eukaryota; Metazoa; Mollusca; Bivalvia; Mytilida; Mytilidae. The record is from RNAcentral.